CUGAAUGUGAAUUAGCUGCAAGUGUAGGCAAGGACAAGCCAAGCUCAGCAGAGUUUCUGCAGCCACGGUGAGACCUGGCUGGAAGCAGGGAUAAACCUGGGCAGCAGAGCAGGUUACCGCUCAGCAAAGAA
Molecule: long non-coding RNA, 131 nt
Filed under: Junco hyemalis (dark-eyed junco)
Lineage: Eukaryota; Metazoa; Chordata; Aves; Passeriformes; Passerellidae
Description: lncRNA (ENSJHYG00000008379.1)
Source: RNAcentral